GUACACUCCUGCGGGAGGCAGUAGUGGGGAAUAUUGGACAAUGGGCGCAAGCCUGAUCCAGCCAUGCCGCGUGAGUGAUGAAGGCCCUAGGGUUGUAAAGCUCUUUCACCGGUGAAGAUAAUGACGGUAACCGGAGAAGAAGCCCCGGCUAACUUCGUGCCAGCAGCCGCGGUAAUACGAAGGGGGCUAGCGUUGUUCGGAUUUACUGGGCGUAAAGCGCACGUAGGCGGACUAUUAAGUCAGGGGUGAAAUCCCGGGGCUCAACCCCGGAACUGCCUUUGAUACUGGUAGUCUUGAGUUCGAGAGAGGUGAGUGGAAUUCCGAGUGUAGAGGUGAAAUUCGUAGAUAUUCGGAGGAACACCAGUGGCGAAGGCGGCUCACUGGCUCGAUACUGACGCUGAGGUGCGAAAGCGUGGGGAGCAAACAGGAUUAGAUACCCCGGUAGUCCCAUGAU
This 454-nucleotide ribosomal RNA is filed under the name uncultured organism. Its description in RNAcentral is "partial 16S ribosomal RNA". It matches the Rfam family "Bacterial small subunit ribosomal RNA", at positions 331 to 801 of the family's 1533-position model. The record is from RNAcentral.